CGGCGGCCGCAUUGGCCCGGCCCGGCCCCGCCGCGGACCGGGGGGGCGGCCCCGGCGCUGGCCCGGCCCCGGGGGGCGGCCGCCGAGCUCCCCGCCCGCGGCCGGCCCUGCUCCCUUUGUCUGUCGGCGGUCGCGGCUCCGCCGCCGCUUCCAACCCGGCGACUCUCGGGUUUGGUGUCCCCCCCCCCCCCCGGUUGCCUUUUCCGCGCGUAGGGUGCGUGUGGGAGUGUUUUUAUUAUUAUUUUUAUUAUGUUGUCGUUGUUUGUUUGCCUUCUAUCCCCCCCCUUCCCCGAGGAGUUUUUUCAGCAUCCGUGGAGCGCGGGGGUUUGGGGCGGGGGAGGUGAUGCGUGUGGUGGAAAACGGGAUCGUUUGUGGCUCGGUUUUUUUUAUUACGCUGCUGCAAAACAAAGCGAGAUGUUUGCAGAUUUCAAAACAAGCUGAAGGCUAUUUUUAAAAAUAGAGCUUCUCAGCUGCAUGGAAGUAAUAACUUGCAGCCUUAGUGAAUAGAAAUACAUGAAAACCACAGCAUUUUCCUCUCCUAACUUUAAAACCCACAUAAUACGUGUUUGUUCACUGCAGAUGAACUAAUCUCGCUAUUGUGUUGCCAGAGAUCAGCUGGCUUGUGCUUUACAUUUUCUGGAGGUCACUGCAAUCAUUGCCUUUUGUCGUUUUGGGAUGGAGGAAUAUGAAAGGAAAAGGGGGGGGAGCAUAAUUGACACUGUGCUAAAAUUGGGCCCAGAACAUCAUCAUAAUGUUGAUGCACAUCUCAGAGGGUCUCUACCACAGUGAGUUUUUCAUCUGCAAACAACAAGGGGAAAGAUGGAUCUUUAUCAUACUGUGUGUACUGGGAUACCCUAGCUCCUCAUGUUCCUAUGGCUCUUGCCUUUGAGAUAUUCAAACCUUUGAGCAAAGACAACUUGGAUGGUUUUAUUCCCUAGAGGGAAUAAAACUAGUAUGAAUUCCUAGGAUGUGCUGGCUCUGCAGGGAGCGUCCAGGUGCUGCCUUACUGCAGGGCUGGAGGGGCUGCAGCUUUAGGCCCCUUAGGACAAUGGUGACCUCCCUUAGCAGGCAGGUGUCAGCUUGAAGAAGAGGGGUAUUAGUCUUUGGACCCAUGGAAAACACUUCCCAGCUGCACCAAAAUAAGUCAUUUUCCUCUGUGGUGUUUCCACAUUCAGCCCAUGUCUUUGACAGAGUCUGUGACAGCCCUCCAGCACUGCCAAGAACGCUCGCUCCUGACCUUGCCAUGCUGGUGAGGACCUUGGAUCAGCCGGGACAGCUCCCACCAUGUCCCAGGUACUGCACCUUCUGUGGUGUUCCCAAAGUGCCAGGAGAUCCCAGUCGUGCCUGUGGUAUUGGACCCAUGGACCCAGGGUUGGCUCCUGCUGGCAGAGAGAAUGGAGAGAAUGUUGGAGCCUUGUUCAUUGCACAGGAAGGGUCUAUCCAUGCUCAGGCUGAUGAACAAUGAGAUGUCACAGCAGGUUUGAUCUCUUGAAAUCAUCUUCUGAUAUUUGUGGGGAGAGCUGUGCUGCUCAGGGGAGGAGGUCUGUAGCUUUGCAGCUGAGAGAAGAUGAUGCAGCAAAUGUCUUCAGUGUGCAGAUCCCUACUUGUUUCCUGGGCAGGCACAGAGUCACACCCGGCAGAAGACUUUGCUAACCAGUGGUACAGACAGACCACUUUCAGAAUUUCACUAAUAGUGGUAGCACAGGUACUUAGGAAAUGUGAAGGCUUUUUUUUUUUUUGUAAGGAUACCUGUUCAGAUGUGAUGGUCUCAACAGACAUUUGUGGUUUCCCAUGUGAGCUGGGCCACAACCUACCCAUGUGGCUAUUUUAGGUGAAUGUUACCACACUCUCCUUUCUUUCCCAAAAUGGCCCUUGAAGAUUGCCAUGUGGAUCUCUCUUGGCCCAAAGGAUAUAAUUUAGGGAGCAAACCAUAAGAAAGGCUCCCCUAGUUCCUCAUCACUAAGAGCAUAUCAUCUUAGAAAGCAAGAGGUGAGCAUCAGUUUAGCAAGGGUUUAGCUAGGAGAGAAGCGAUGAGUCUCACACCAAGCUGGGGUGGUUGGGGAACAUGGUGAACAUGGCACAGUGUUCAGCUGGGACUUGUCCCAGCAGCCAUCAGACAUAUCUCUUGGGAUGUAAGUUAGGGGGUUUUUAGAAAUAAAUGUGCUAUGCAGAGAAAAUACUUUGAGUUCCCUAAGAAACCUGCUGAAAAAGUGCCCUCUAUUCAAGAUGUGAGCCAAAAGGUAAUGGCCAGGUCGCUGCAGACAGGGGCUCUUUGUGAGGAGUCCUCACGAACCUGCUGCCGUCCUUCCCUCCCCGUGCCGGGAGAGGCCAGCGUCCGCCUUUCCUGUGUUCUGCCUCCUCGGUUUUAUACAUUCCUGCAAUGAAAGCUGAGCGAGCAAGAUCCCCUGCUAUUUGCAAGAUGUGGGCGUGCCCUCUGCAAAAUCCACAUCAUUGUCCUUCCAAACCCUUUUCGGAGGUUAGCCAAUAUUUACGCAGUGCUUGAGGGACGUUAGGAACGACGGUUUGAACAUUUAGAGGUUGCCUCGUGUUUGAGGCCACUUCACCUUCCAGCUCACCUGGGAGGUAAAGCAGCUUGGGUCUGAGGUUACCAGCUCUGUUUUUUAAUUUGGUUUCCUCACUGUCAGUGCACCACGGUACUUUGACUGGGGUUCUUUUUUGUCCCACUAUACAUUUACGUUUUAAGCUAGUGGUGAUAGUCCUGAGCACUUUCAGCUCACAACUGCCAGUUCUAGCAGUGUCUGAGUUUCUUUUCUGUGUGGAGAUAGAGAGUAUCCAGCCCAUUUGAGGAGGAAAUACUGUAUGCACAGAGAGAUGUUUUUAAUUUAGUGAAUCUGUGAAUUCUAAGGCCAGAGGGGUAGGUUAUGAUCCUCUAAACCAGCAGUUUGCCUAACAUGAGCCACAAAAUCUUACCCAAGAGCUCCUACCACCAAGCCUAUUAACUUCUUUAGAAAUUCCUGCUCCAGAACACUGAGCAGAGUAAUUACCACUAUGGUUAGAACAAUGCCCCAGAAGAAUGAAACAUUUUUGCUCAAAAUAUCCAAGUCAUAUCUGCUUAUGUCAGAAAAAAUGAUUACUUUAGCUAGUGUAUAUUCCUCCUGGCUGCUCUGUUUUGAAGGAGUGAGGGGAGGGAAAGCAAACUCCUUUAUGGCUUGUGCAUCAUUGCAAAGGGAAUGUAAUUGCAGGAGGUUUAUUGCAUUUGACUAUUCCUGUUUGGAAAGAGUCCAGGUUGACUGUCAGAGCCAGGGCUGAGUCUGAUGGCUUGGCAGAUAGGGGAAGAGAGGUCCUUGCACUGUAAACUGAGCAAGGAGUAACCAAGGAAAUUUAAUAAGAAGUUAUGGAGGUAACAAAAGAGUGCCUUGGCACUGUCAUUCUGAUGGGGCUGGCUGUUGCACAGCUCCAGGUUAACUUAUUCAGAAGAGAAAGCUUAGGUGAGACAUUUGUAUAUAGAGGCAAAUACUCCCCAUGACAUGGUGCCAUAGAGGAGCACUCCUUUGUCUUUUGGCAAGUCUGGAGUGAACUUUUCCUGCAGGAAUUGUCCUCACCAUGCUACCAGAGAAGCAGACCUAUUGUUGGGCUGCCGAGGCUUGAAGAUGAAGUCCACUCACCAUCUGGCCCUUCAUAUAGAUUGGAAGCCUGACUUGUUUGCAAGAUGCUCUCUGUGAAGUGUGGUGUGGGGAGCCUUACCAAUGCUGUGCUGUUAACUUGAAAAGCAGGCUGAGAAUGGCAGGUACCAAACAGCAUUUUGAGCUCACAGUACGUACCCAUGGAGGGUGGCUCUUUUUUUGCUGACUGUGUAGUCAUAUUUGAGCAGCAGUUAAAUACUCCAUUUAUUUAUAUUCCUUGCUUUUCUGUUGGUAUAAUUUCUGUCAAAGUUAUGCUCUAUGCUCACAGGUCCUGUUCAUUGCCACUCUGUGCAUUAAACGAGAGGUUUGCAUUUUGCUUGUUUUGACAUUCCCCUUGCCCUUCAUCAUGAUCCAUGGUAAUAUUAUUUUUGGAGUAGCUUUUCAUAGAUUAUUUCUGCUUUUGGUAGGGGGUGGUGGUGGUGAAGGGGCCAUUACACAGGUUUUAUUUUUGGUUUCAUGUUUCUUAAGUAAACAGGGGUUUUAAUAGUGGUAGUCUAGCAUGAGUCCUGAAGGAGAUCGUUCAUGGCCCGGACUGUUGCCGAGGGGAGGUGAGUGGUCCAAAGGCAAGCCAAAGAGCAGCGGUAAGUGCAUCAGGGGCAUCUUCAGGAGGAUCCCAGCACACACCGACAGGGAACAAAAUCUAGAGAUAAAAAAUAACUCUCCAAAACACUAGAAGAUUCUUGAAAUAUGACUGCGAAAGCGACACACACUCAAGAAGUGAAGGGUGUCUAAAGAAUCCUGACGAUUAAGACCUUAAAAAAACAAUUCGAAGGAAGAGUAUAUGAAUCCAAAUUUUAAUCGCCCCAGUCCGGGCGCAGGCACCGAGCUGACGGAAAACUGAUCCCGGCGAGAAGUGUUUGCGCUCCGGCCGUGCCCCCCACCUUCCCUCUCCCCGUUCUGUAGGUCCCUGCCCCUCGUCUCGCCGCCAGGAGGUCAGGCCGGGGAGCCGGGGCCCGUCUUGUACCCCCGCCCUGCGGCAGCUCUGCCCGCCCCGCCCGGCUGCCUCGCACCGGCGAGCGCGGCGUGCCCGGCCCCUGUCCCGGAGCUGCCCCGGGAUGUCCCGAUGCGCGGGGCAAUGGUGCCCUCUAAUGUCCGCCGGCCCGGAGAGCCGGGCGCUCGCCCCGCUCCCCCUCUCGCCCCGGGGCAGCGCGGCCUCGCCCCGCCACCGCCCCACGGCGGGACCCGUUCCACCGCGAUUCCCCUUUCCCACCGCGUUUGCAGCCCGUUGUGUGCUUCCUGAGUAAUGAAAUACAUCGUAGCUAUCAUCACCGUCUUAAGAGAUUCUUCGAGUUGCUCCGAGUCCGUAUGAUUCUUUGGCAAGAUUUAUUAAUAGAAUAAUACAUUCACUUUAUUCUGUGAAAAAUUAGGGUUAAGGUGUAACUUGGAUGUCACAGAAUCAUAGAAUGGCUUGCAUUGGAAGGGACCUUGAAGAUCAUCUCGUUCCAACCCCCUGCCAUGGACAGGGACACCCCCCACUAGACCAGGUUGCUCAGAGCCCCAUCCAACCUGGUCUUGAACACUUAAAGGGAUCAGGCAUCCACAGCUUCUCUGGGCCACCUGUGCCAGUAUAUCAACACUUUCACAGCAAAGAAUUUCUUCCUAAUAUCUAUUCUAAAUCUUUUGGUUUAAAACUAUUAUCCCUCAUUCUGUCACUCCAUUCCCAGAUAAAAAGUCCCACCCCACCUUUCCUUUAGGUCCCUUUUAGGUGCUGGAAGAUUGCUCUAUGGUUGCCCUGGAGCCUUCUCUUCUUUAGGCUUAACAGCCCCAACUGUCUCAGCUUGUUUUUGUAGGAGAAGUGCUCCAGCCUUCUGAUCGUCUCCAUGGCCCAUUCCAACAGAUCCACAUCCUUCCUGUGAUGAGGGCCCAGAGCUGGAUGCAGCACUCCAGGUGGGGUCUCAGAAAAGCAGAGUAGGGGGAUGGAAUCAUGUCCCUUGACCUGCUGGCCACUCUGCUUUUGAUGCAGCCCAAGAUGUUUCUGGCUUUCUGGGCUGUGACCACACAUUGUCGGGUCAUGUUGAGCUUCUCAUCUACCAACACCCCCAGGACCUUCUCCUCAGGGCUGCUCUCAAUCCAUUCUCCACCCGGUCUGAAUUUGUGCUUGGAAUUGCCCUGACACAUGUGCAGGACCUUCCAGUUGGCCUUGUUGAACUUCAUGAGGUUCACACAGGCCCACCUCUCAAGCCUGUCAAGGUCCCUCUAGAGGACAUCACUUCCCUCCAACGCGUUGAUUACACUGCACAGCUUGGUGUCAUUGCCAAACUCACUGAGGGUGCACUCGAUCCCACUGCCCAUGUCACUGACAAAGCUGUUAAAUAAUAGUGGUCCCAAUACAGCCAUCUGAGGGACACCACUUAUCACUGAUCUUCACCUGGACAUUGAGAUGUUGACCACAAUUCUUUGACUGCAAAGAUCCAGCCAAUUCCUUAUCCACCUGGCGGUCCACCCAUCAAAUCCAUGUCUCUCCUUUUUAGAGACAAGGAUGUCAAGCAGGACAGUGUCAAGUCCUUUGCACAAGUCCAGGUAGAUGAGUCAGUCGCUCCAUAAUCUUUCUGGGCAGUGAGGUGAGAUUGACCAAUGUGUGGUUCCAUGGGUCUUCCUUUUUCUCCUUUCUAAAAGCGGGCAUUUUGUUUCCCCUUUUCCAGUCACUGGGAACAUCAGCGGACUGCCACAACUUCUCAAAUAUGACAGAUAGUGGCUCAGCUCAAUGGCAACUCAAACCCUUGGAGUCCCGGAGGAGCAGAUGCAGCUGUAGAGGACAUGGACCACAAGACACGUCUGGCUUCGUGUGGGGCUGGCAUGGCUCAGGGAACCCCAGGAGUUUUGUAUCCUUUACGCUUUUUCUGUGGCUGGUUCCCUCCCUACGGGAGGGUGGCAAAGUAAUACAAUGUGGGAUCUGGCUGUUCCUUCUCUUUCUCUCUGAGCUGGAUUCCCUCUUCUUAUUUGCCUCUCCCUCAGGCUUGCUCCCUGCGUUCCCCGCGAUGGGGCGUUGAGAUAUCAUGCAAUGACGCAGCAUGAUGAGAUAAUUUUUCCUCCCUCCCCACCCCCUGGCUUCUUGUUUGUAUUCUUUAAUUAAUUUAUCUUCUUGCCUACAGCUUUAAAUUUGCUUUUAGUGUAGUUACUUUCUGAAGUCACAGCACUACAAUUUUAUUUGCUCUUAAUCUUGAAAAGCAAUCACUUUAUAAUAUUCCUGCUAGAAUCAUAGCAAUUAUUUUGCUGCAGGCUUUGAAUGUGGACCAAGCAUCACCCUGUGGUGAACCUGCAAAGGGAGUGGUUCAAUGAGCUCUGUUGGGGAGGUCCAUCACAAUCAUUUGACAGCAGUUUAACUAUAAUAUGGAUGCCCUGCCCACAAUAUGAACAUUUAAGCAAGAUUUUCCUCUGACCUGUCCUGGCAUUCCCAACGAGGUCCUGGGCCUCGCUGCAGUCCUGUGACUUCUGAGGGCACCUCCAGUGGGAUUCGUGGUGGUUGUUGCUUCACUUGCACACAGGUGACUGAAUUUGGUAAAUUAUUUGAUUGAUGAGUCUCAGGAGGAAUAUAAUCCACCAUUCCCCUGGCUGUACUGGGCAAUAAAUACAA
Long non-coding RNA from Pseudopipra pipra, 7218 nucleotides. RefSeq lists it as uncharacterized. Lineage: Eukaryota; Metazoa; Chordata; Aves; Passeriformes; Pipridae. The record is from RefSeq and is a predicted model, not a curated record. The transcript has 3 exons.